This 663-nucleotide long non-coding RNA is filed under the name Meleagris gallopavo (turkey). Its description in RNAcentral is "lncRNA (ENSMGAG00000022858.1)". The record is from RNAcentral. Lineage: Eukaryota; Metazoa; Chordata; Aves; Galliformes; Phasianidae.
UGCACUGCAUUGUGUCAAUAAACCCUGAGUCAAAUUCUCUAAUUGCCUUGGAUUGCAGCUGUAGAAAGUACAAAGAUAAAAGGAAUUCUCUACAGUAGCAUAAUUAUCUAAAAUGUUGUCCUUUGACAUUCUAUGACUUGGAGCAUAGCACAAGUGAAAACUUACAAGAAGCAAUGGUAACUUUAUUGCUAUUAUGAAAGCUUUGAGGCUGUGUGGUUGUUAGGUUACUGAAGCAAAGUAGGGGUAUAAUAGAUAGCCUCUAGUCAUCCAAAAUGGACAGUGAUGGAUGAUGUAGUUUGGCCAGUUUAUAUAUCUUUUCAGCAUUUCCAGGUAUGACAUGGUACAGUCCUCAAGUGGAAUCAUCCUGGCUCAAUAGUUCUACCUGAAACCUUUAGGUGAGCCACAAGAAUCCAGCCAUCCCUGCAAAUGUGUGUUCUGACACCGAUAGAAUCGUCCUUUCCUGUCUACUGCUUCUCUCCUGUCCUGAGUUGAUUUGGACACAAACGACAUCAGUUGCUUCCAGAAAGAUUGCUGCCAAGAUCCCUCCUGAGCACACUGCUUCUUUCUCCCCUAAUAGUCAUCACGGAGUUGGGACCACUGAACUCUGCUCUGCACCCUCACUCCCACCAUUCAGUUAACAACAGUACCAUGUGAGGUAAGCUG